Molecule: ribosomal RNA, 253 nt
Filed under: uncultured bacterium
Lineage: Bacteria
Description: partial 16S ribosomal RNA
Rfam family: Bacterial small subunit ribosomal RNA
Source: RNAcentral
UACGGAGGGUGCAAGCGUUGUUCGGAAUUACUGGGCGUAAAGCGCGUGUAGGCGGCUAUCUAAGUCUGGUGUGAAAGCCCGAGGCUCACCCUCGGAAGCGCACUGGAUACUGGAUGGCUCGAGUACCGGAGAGGAGGGUGGAAUUCCUGGUGUAGCGGUGAAAUGCGUAGAUAUCAGGAAGAACACCGGUGGCGAAGGCGGCCCUCUGGACGGAUACUGACGCUGAGACGCGAAAGCGUGGGGAGCAAACAGG